GACGAACGCUGGCGGCGUGCCUAACACAUGCAAGUCGAGCGAUUCUCUUCGGAGAAGAGCGGCGGACGGGCGAGUAACGCGUGGGUAACCUGCACUAUACACACGGAUAACGUAUCGCAAGGUACGAGAAAACGAGAUAACAUAAGAAAUUCGAAUGGAUUAUUUAACGAAGAUCUGACGGUAUAGGAGGGGCCCGCGUGUGAUUAGCUAGUUGGUAAGGUAAUGGCUUACCAAGGCGACGAUCAGUAGCCGAACAGAGAGGGUGAGCGGCCACAUUGGAACUGAGCCACGGUCCAAACUCCUACGGGAGGCAGCAGUGGGGAAUAUUGCACAAUGGGCGAAAGGCUGACGCAGCAACGCCGCGUGAGCGAUGAAGGCCUUCGGGUCGUAAAGCUCUGUCCUCAAGGAAGAUGAUGACGGUACUUGAGGAGGAAGCCCCGGCUAACUACGUGCCAGCAGCCGCCGUAA
Molecule: ribosomal RNA, 468 nt
Filed under: uncultured bacterium
Lineage: Bacteria
Description: partial 16S ribosomal RNA
Rfam family: Bacterial small subunit ribosomal RNA
Source: RNAcentral